This 342-nucleotide ribosomal RNA is filed under the name Triticum aestivum (bread wheat). RNAcentral's name for it is "partial small subunit ribosomal RNA". Lineage: Eukaryota; Viridiplantae; Streptophyta; Magnoliopsida; Poales; Poaceae. The record is from RNAcentral.
AUGGUGUCAUUUUUUUUAAACAUCGAAGAGGAAUUUCAGGAAGGCACCCCUUUCUUCUUCAGAGGCCAGCGUAUUUGGGAAGCAGUCAUUAGGGAACUUUUAUCAAGAAGUAGCCUUCCUACAAAAAAAAGGGCAGUUGAUUCUUUAGAAGUAUUUGGAGCAACCAAAAUUGAAGUGAGAACACGAUACUUCACUGGUGUGUCCAUACAUAUGUCUAUAUAUACAGUGGAACUCCAAGUGAGUACGAAUCAAAUGAAUGAUGCCCCAAGAGCUCGGGUGCAUUUCAAAAUGUUCUAUUCCUCCCACAUUCAGCCAACUGGAGUAUCCUGCUCUCCCUUCUAG